Molecule: ribosomal RNA, 251 nt
Filed under: uncultured prokaryote
Description: partial 16S rRNA
Rfam family: Bacterial small subunit ribosomal RNA
Source: RNAcentral
ACGUAGGGGGCAAGCGUUGUCCGGAAUGAUUGGGCGUAAAGGGCGCGUAGGCGGCCAACUAAGUCUGGAGCGAAAGUCCUUCUUUUAAGGAGGGAAUUGCUUUGGAAACUGGAUGGCUUGAGUGUAGGAGAGGUUAGUGGAAUUCCCGGUGUAGCGGUGAAAUGCGUAGAGAUCGGGAGGAACACCAGUGGCGAAGGCGACUAACUGGACUAUGACUGACGCUGAGGCGCGAAAGUGUGGGGAGCAAACAG